Triticum dicoccoides is the source of this 937-nucleotide long non-coding RNA. RefSeq lists it as uncharacterized. NCBI's taxonomy places the organism in Eukaryota, Viridiplantae, Streptophyta, Magnoliopsida, Poales, Poaceae. The transcript is spliced from 3 exons. The record is from RefSeq and is a predicted model, not a curated record.
AUUUAUCUGUUAUCGAACAACAAUUAAGUGCAUAGAAGUGUGUGAUCACAUUAUUAUACAAGUUUAUAUGCAAGAAGCUGGAAAAUUGCUGCAAGGAUGCAUUUCGACGAGUGAGCAUACCGGUCAGAUUGAUAUCAGCCCCUUGAUGGAUAAGGAACUGCACAACAUCUUCAUACCCUCUGGAAGCUGCAAGAUGCUGCGGCAAAGAUGCUGGUUACAUCAGGCAUGGAAUAUUCAUCAUGGAGGUUUCAAUUUUUUUGAAUUAGAUAAGAACCAUAUAACCAAAUCUUAGUAAUUUGUACCAAAGGAGACCGCCCAUCGUAAUCACUGUUCUUUGGAUUGGCUCCAGCUCGGAUUAAGCCAGUCAACUGAUGAAGGUCGCCAUAAAAAGCGGCGUUAUUAACUCUUAAGUCGGAGAUAGCACAUCAAGAAAAAAGAUGCAGUAUCUAUGAAUACUGGAAUUAGAUGAAAUAAUUAAUGGCAUGUUGUUUGUUUCUACUGUUUACCUCGGGUCUACGCAACAGCUUAAAUAUUCCUCGAGAAAAUUACUAUAACUACACCCAAGAUUGGCGGCUGCCUGCCUGGUACUUUAGGCCAUUCAAGCCAGCAAUCUGAACUGUCAAGUACCCAAAUCACAUUUGGAGUGCAGCUGCAGAGCGACAUCAUAAAAAACCCUCUGAACUGCUGUAGUCAUACACCUGGUUGGCAUUGUGGAGGCAAGUUACUGGUGUUAGCUUAUUAGUUUAAGUUUAGUUGACAUAUCGUCGUAAGCAGAUGGGUUCUACCAUUAUAUAUUUUGUUGCUGCGUAACAGCGCAGCAACAUGAGCAUGCAGGUUGUUAGACCACAUGUUCAUCUGUUGAUGUAACAUGUCAAAAAGUAUCCCAGGUUGGAUGGCAUAUUAAAAUAUGUUGAUGCUUGGUAAUGAGAAAAAGAAA